UACAGAGGUCUCAAGCGUUGUUCGGAUUCAUUGGGCGUAAAGGGUGCGUAGGCGGCGCGGUAAGUCGGGUGUGAAAUCUUGGAGCUUAACUCCGAAACUGCAUUCGAUACUGCCGUGCUUGAGGACUGGAGAGGAGACUGGAAUUUACGGUGUAGCGGUGGAAUGCGUAGAUAUCGUAAGGAAGACCAGUGGCGAAGGCGGGUCUCUGGACAGUUCCUGACGCUGAGGCACGAAGGUCAGGGGAGCAAACGGG
Molecule: ribosomal RNA, 253 nt
Filed under: uncultured bacterium
Lineage: Bacteria
Description: partial 16S ribosomal RNA
Rfam family: Bacterial small subunit ribosomal RNA
Source: RNAcentral